This 459-nucleotide ribosomal RNA is filed under the name uncultured bacterium. RNAcentral's name for it is "partial 16S ribosomal RNA". It matches the Rfam family "Bacterial small subunit ribosomal RNA", at positions 338 to 795 of the family's 1533-position model. The record is from RNAcentral.
CCUACGGGUGGCAGCAGUGAGGAAUAUUGGUCAAUGGGCGAGAGCCUGAACCAGCCAAGUCGCGUGAGGGAAGACGGUCCUAUGGAUUGUAAACCUCUUUUGCCGGGGAGCAAAAAGCGGUACGUGUACCGCAUCGAGAGUACCCGGAGAAAAAGCAUCGGCUAACUCCGUGCCAGCAGCCGCGGUAAUACGGAGGAUGCGAGCGUUAUCCGGAUUUAUUGGGUUUAAAGGGUGCGCAGGCGGCGAGUUAAGUCAGCGGUAAAAUUUCGGGGCUCAACCCCGACGAGCCGUUGAAACUGGGUGCCUUGAGUGGGCGAGAAGUACGCGGAAUGCGUGGUGUAGCGGUGAAAUGCAUAGAUAUCACGCAGAACUCCGAUUGCGAAGGCAGCGUACCGGCGCCCAACUGACGCUGAAGCACGAAGGCGUGGGUAUCGAACAGGAUUAGAUACCCGAGUAGUC